AGUGGCGCAAGGGUGUGUAACACGUGGGUAAUCUGCCGUGAAGUUUGGGAUAACUUGCUGAAAGGCGAGCUAAUACCGGAUGUGAACGCAAGUUCAAAGUUGGGGACCGCAAGGCCUGACGCUUCACGAUGAGCCCGCGGCCUAUCAGCUAGUUGGUGAGGUAACGGCUCACCAAGGCUAAGACGGGUAGCUGGUCUGAGGGGACGACCAGCCACACUGGAACUGAGACACGGUCCAGACACCUACGGGUGGCAGCAGUCGAGAAUUUUUCUCAAUGGGCGAAAGCCUGAAGGAGCGACGCCGCGUGGGGGAUGAAUGGCUUCGGCCCGUAAACCCCUGUCAUUUGUGAACAAAUUGUUUCACCUAACACGUGAAGCAUUGAUUGUAACGGAAGAGGAAGGGACGGCUAACUCUGUGCCAGCAGCCGCGGUAAUACAGAGGUCCCAAGCGUUGUUCGGAUUCACUGGGCGUAAAGGGUGCGUAGGCGGCCAGGUAAGUUUGAUGUGAAAUCCCGCAGCUCAACUGCGGAACUGCAUUGAAUACUAUCUGGCUCGAGGAAUGGAGGGGAGACUGGAAUUCUCGGUGUAGCAGUGAAAUGCGUAGAUAUCGAGAGGAACACCAGUGGCGAAAGCGAGUCUCUGGACAUUUCCUGACGCUCAGGCACGAAAGCCAGGGGAGCAAACGGGAUUAGAUACCCCGGUAGUCCUGGCCUUAAACGGUGCGCAUUUGCUGUGAGCGGAAUCGACCCCGCUCGUGGCGAAGCUAACGCGUUAAAUGCGCCGCCUGGGAAGUACGGCCGCAAGGUUAAAACUCAAAGAAAUUGACGGGGGCCUGCACAAGCGGUGGAGUAUGUGGCUUAAUUCGA
Molecule: ribosomal RNA, 865 nt
Filed under: uncultured bacterium
Lineage: Bacteria
Description: bacterial SSU rRNA
Rfam family: Bacterial small subunit ribosomal RNA
Source: RNAcentral